RNAcentral lists this ribosomal RNA (822 nucleotides) under uncultured bacterium. RNAcentral's name for it is "bacterial SSU rRNA". It matches the Rfam family "Bacterial small subunit ribosomal RNA", at positions 60 to 868 of the family's 1533-position model. The record is from RNAcentral.
AGUCGAGGGGCAGCGGGGCGGCAGGCUUGCCUGCCGUUGCCGGCGACCGGCGCACGGGUGAGUAACACGUAUGCAACCUGCCCGUGGCAGGGGGAUAAGCGGGGGAAACCCCGUCUAAUACCGCGUAACGCGGCCUAGGGACAUCCCAAGGCCGCCAAAGGGAGCAAUCCCGGCCACGGAUGGGCAUGCGGCGCAUUAGCUAGUCGGCGGGGUAACGGCCCACCGAGGCGACGAUGCGUAGGGGUUCUGAGAGGAAGGCCCCCCACACUGGUACUGAGACACGGACCAGACUCCUACGGGAGGCAGCAGUGAGGAAUAUUGGUCAAUGGGCGCGAGCCUGAACCAGCCAAGUCGCGUGAGGGAGGACGGCCCUACGGGUUGUAAACCUCUUUUGCCGGGGAGCAACGGGCGUCACGUGUGGCGCCACUGAGAGUACCCGGAGAAAAAGCAUCGGCUAACUCCGUGCCAGCAGCCGCGGUAAUACGGAGGAUGCGAGCGUUAUCCGGAUUUAUUGGGUUUAAAGGGUGCGUAGGCGGAUCGUUAAGUCAGUGGUCAAAUUGAGGGGCUCAACCCCUUCCCGCCAUUGAAACUGGCGUUCUUGAGUGGAAGAGAAGUAUGCGGAAUGCGUGGUGUAGCGGUGAAAUGCAUAGAUAUCACACAGAACACCGAUUGCGAAGGCAUCUCACGAAUCCGCGAUUGACGCUGAUGCACGAAAGCGUGGGUAUCAAACAGGAUUAGAUACCCUGGUAGUCCACGCUGUAAACGAUGAUGACUAACCGUCGGCGAUACACAGUCGGUGGCCAAGCGAAAGCGAUAAGUCAU